RNAcentral lists this ribosomal RNA (253 nucleotides) under uncultured bacterium. RNAcentral's name for it is "partial 16S ribosomal RNA". It matches the Rfam family "Bacterial small subunit ribosomal RNA", at positions 524 to 776 of the family's 1533-position model. The record is from RNAcentral.
UACAGAGGGUGCGAGCGUUAAUCGGAAUUACUGGGCGUAAAGGGUGCGUAGGUGGUUGCAUAAGUUAGGUGUGAAAGUCCUGGGCUUAACCUGGGGAUUGCGCCUAAGACUGUGUAGCUAGAGUACUGUAGAGGAAGGUGGAAUUUCCAGUGUAGCGGUGAAAUGCGUAGAUAUUGGAAGGAACAUCGGUGGCGAAGGCGACCUUCUGGACAGAUACUGACACUGAGGCACGAGAGCAUGGGGAGCAAACAGG